This is a small nuclear RNA of Loxodonta africana (African savanna elephant), 108 nucleotides long. The record is from Ensembl. NCBI's taxonomy places the organism in Eukaryota, Metazoa, Chordata, Mammalia, Proboscidea, Elephantidae.
GUGUUCAUUUUGGCAGCACAUAUACUAAAAUUGUGAAUGAUACAAAGAAGAUUAGCAUUGUCCCUGCAGAAGGAUGACACACAAAUUCGUGAAGUGUUCCAUAUUUUG